Molecule: transfer RNA, 73 nt
Filed under: Paenibacillus graminis
Lineage: Bacteria; Bacillati; Bacillota; Bacilli; Caryophanales; Paenibacillaceae
Also listed under: 1 other name
Rfam family: tRNA
About the family: Transfer RNA (tRNA) molecules are approximately 80 nucleotides in length. Their secondary structure includes four short double-helical elements and three loops (D, anti-codon, and T loops).
Source: Rfam by way of RNAcentral
GCCGGUGUAGCUCAAUUGGUAGAGCAACUGACUUGUAAUCAGUAGGUUGGGAGUUCAAGUCUUCUCGCCGGCA